RNAcentral lists this transfer RNA (77 nucleotides) under Gammaproteobacteria bacterium. RNAcentral's name for it is "tRNA-Pro". It matches the Rfam family "tRNA". From Rfam's summary of the family: Transfer RNA (tRNA) molecules are approximately 80 nucleotides in length. Their secondary structure includes four short double-helical elements and three loops (D, anti-codon, and T loops). Lineage: Bacteria; Pseudomonadati; Pseudomonadota; Gammaproteobacteria. The record is from RNAcentral. RNAcentral also lists the same sequence under 2 other names.
CGGAGUGUAGCUCAGCCUGGUAGAGCACUGCCUUCGGGAGGCAGGGGUCGAAGGUUCAAAUCCUUUCACUCCGACCA